GCAGGGGGAGCAACAUGAAGUCACAGACCCAGGUCCUCAUAUCCCUGCUGCUAUGGGUGUCUGGUGCCUGUGCAGACAUUGUGAUGACUCAGUCUCCAUCCUCCCUGGCUGUGUCAUCAGGAGAGAAGGUCUCCAUCAGCUGCAGGUCCAGUCAGAGCCUUUAUCACAGCAGCAGCAAAAAGAACUUAUUGUACUGGUACCAGCAGAAACCAGGACAGUCUCCUAAGCUGCUAAUCUACCAUGCAUCCACUCGGUACACUGGGGUCCCUGAUCGCUUCACAGGCAGUGGAUCUGGGACAGAUUACACUCUCAGCAUCAGCAGUGUGCAGGAUGAAGACCUGGCAGUUUAUUACUGUUUGCAGGGUAUUAGUGCUCCUCCCACAGUGAUUCAGCUUCCAACACAAACCUCCUUUAGAGUCUCCCCAGCUGCCUGCACCACACACAGUCCUGGCCCUGCACACGUCCCCCUUCUGUGUAAUAGCAGGUGUGUCUGAAAAAGUGAUGAAUAGUU
This is a non-coding RNA of Meriones unguiculatus (Mongolian gerbil), 511 nucleotides long. The record is from the annotation of a RefSeq genome assembly. Lineage: Eukaryota; Metazoa; Chordata; Mammalia; Rodentia; Muridae.